CAAUUUUAAAAUAUCAGGAGAUUCAACAGGCAAAGGAACAAAAUCUAUCAAUUGUGCGUGAUUCCUUAAUUUGCCGUGUUUGAAUUUCCAUUUUGAAAGUUUGUGAAGAUUAGUAAACUUAGUUAGGAUCAUUGUAUAAAGUGUACCUUACACUUAUUGUAAUUAACUUUUCUCAUUGUAUCAAUUCGAAAUAAUCAAUCUUUCUCUCAAUUAGUUUAUCAACCUAUUUUUUCUUGAUUAACAAUUUCAUGAAAUUUUUGACAAUGUUCAUGCCAUAACUUGAGGGUUAGGAUGCAUCAUAGAAACUAUUGCAUCUUACACUGGAGGUAAAACGAUUUUUUUGCAUCAAUUUCUGAUUCUAUCAAAUUGUUUCUUUGAAUUUACUUGGUUGAAGUGGUUGAAUUUGAACCUGAUAUCUUUUUUACUAUUGUGUUCAUGGAAUAUCGUGGUACAAAAGAAUCACGUGGUCGGAAGAGAAAUUAUCGAAGAAAAACUCGCAACGCAGAGAGAAAGUGCAACCAUUGUGACGAAACUGCCCCUAUGUAAAAAAUUGAAUUGACGAAACUACCCUAUGUAUGCAUAAACGUCCUCAAAUACAUGUGGGUCAAGUAUAUGUAUAUGUGUAGAAUUACUGUGUUCCAGUAACAUUUUCUACAACUUUAGACAAUUUAUUUGCAACGAAAAUUUUACUUCUCAGAUCAACUUCCUGAAAAAAAAAAUAGAAAUUAUGGGGAAAAAAAAGAUAUAAGAUAAUGCAUUAUCUUAUAUUCAGAAACUUUAAUUUUUUUUUUUUAUUUUGCUUUAUACAAAUGAUGGGCUACAUGUGUCCCAUAUGGGCUAGCCCGUAUUUUAAACUGAAUUUUAUGAUCGGGCUAAAAGUCAUAAAAAAGAAUCGGGCUAAUAUUUUAAGGUUCAAACUCUAUAUAUAUUCGGGUUUGGCAAGACAACCAAAC
Molecule: long non-coding RNA, 953 nt
Filed under: Trifolium pratense (red clover)
Lineage: Eukaryota; Viridiplantae; Streptophyta; Magnoliopsida; Fabales; Fabaceae
Description: long non-coding RNA (TPRA_LNC006022)
Source: RNAcentral